This 1419-nucleotide long non-coding RNA is filed under the name Jatropha curcas. RNAcentral describes it as "long non-coding RNA (JCUR_LNC002677)". Lineage: Eukaryota; Viridiplantae; Streptophyta; Magnoliopsida; Malpighiales; Euphorbiaceae. The record is from RNAcentral.
CAUCCGUCGGGCGAUCAAACAGUUAAAUUUCCCUUCCUCCAUCCAAAUAAUAAUGUCAACAUUCAACUAUUAAUUCACAACUUAUAAUAAUCUUCAAACGUGUUCCAAUAAUAUUACUGAACAUUCUUUGCUUCACAUAAAUAUAAUCAGCUUCUUUAGCUAAUUGACAAAUAAAUGAAAUCUUUUAUAUAUCUAUAUACAUAUAAGAACACAAUUACAGAUAUUACAAUUUUAUGUUCUAGUUACAAUGCUACUUGCUGAAAUAAUAUUGAAAUCUUUUAAAGACCAGCUUAUAAACUAUCCUAUAGUUCAAACAAAUGGUAUACUAUCUUGAAUCCAUAAUUUACUAUAAAUUACUUAAUAACUAAAAACAAAAUAAUUUCUUAAAUUGAAUCAAUAAGUCUUAUUUAUAUACAUACCCAUCAUUGAUUUUCACCUUUCAAAUUUAAUCACAAUCAAAUAAAUGGUUUGUUUGACUGCACCUAUUUAUAUUUCAUGACCUAUAACCAAUUAUAUACAACACUAAAUCCUAGAUUUUCCUUUAAUAAGCCAAGUAUAACUUCGAUUUAAUCUCAAGUCAUGCUAACAAAAUAAGCUAACAACCAAUUUAUUCAUGUGAUUAGAAUACCCAAUAACUUAGCUACUGCAUUUCUACCAACCCCUCCUUAAUUUAACUUUCUGUGAUAUUUACGGCUUAGAAGCCUAAUUUUCGAUUUCUGUCGUCUAAUGAUUCGAACACUAUACAAUAUCAAAGUGCAAAAACUAAUUGCAAAACUAGAUUCUAUGUAAAAAUUGGUAUAUACUGCCUAUGAGGAAUUCUAGUCACCGAAUCCACCGCUGUCGCCGCCGUCUAUGGUGGCCGGAGGUACCUUGGUUCCUAAAUCUUGCAAUUCUUACGCCAAGACGCAGCAAAUUUCAUAUAGAACUCAGUUCUAUAGCCAACUACUGCAAUUUAUGUCAAUAUCUAACAAAAUCCCAAUUUUUAUUUCUUAAAUCCCUAAGUCCCAUUUUGAUCAAUUCCUGCGUUAAAUCGCCUAAUCUAUGCAAAAUGAUUUCUAAAGGAGUGAAAUGGGAGGACAAUCAACUUACCUCGCCGGAGAGUAUAGUCGGAGUUGCUCGGAGGGAAGGACGGAGACGCGACUGUCUCGAUCGCGCUAAGGUCCCCAGCUUCGCUGUGACUCUUGCGCCCACCAGAAACGGAAACGGAGAGAAAGGAAGGAAGGCGGGCUGCUGCGGCGAGGAGUCGACGGCGAGGAGGCGCUGGUUCUGGUGGUCGAAAAACCAGAGAGGAGAGGCAGCGAGGUCGCGCGCUGGCACUGGCGCAAGGAAGGAGAAGGGGAAAGAAAAAAAAGAAAAAAAAGAAAAAGAAAAGAAAGAAAAAUCUUGGGCUUCUAGACCAUUCCGGUUCGAUUCGAACCG